GGACGGGUGAGUAAUGUCUGGGAAACUGCCUGAUGGAGGGGGAUAACUACUGGAAACGGUAGCUAAUACCGCAUAACGUCGCAAGACCAAAGAGGGGGACCUUCGGGCCUCUUGCCAUCGGAUGUGCCCAGAUGGGAUUAGCUAGUAGGUGGGGUAACGGCUCACCUAGGCGACAAUCCCUAGCUGGUCUGAGAGGAUGACCAGCCACACUGGAACUGAGACACGGUCCAGACUCCUACGGGAGGCAGCAUG
Molecule: ribosomal RNA, 252 nt
Filed under: uncultured bacterium
Lineage: Bacteria
Description: partial 16S ribosomal RNA
Rfam family: Bacterial small subunit ribosomal RNA
Source: RNAcentral